GAUGAACGCUAGCGGCAGGCCUAAUACAUGCAAGUCGAGGGGUAGAAGAGGCUUGCUUCUUUGAGACCGGCGCACGGGUGCGUAACGCGUAUGCAACCUACCUUCAUCUGGGGGAUAGCCCGGAGAAAUCCGGAUUAAUACCGCAUAGAAUCACAGGAUGGCAUUAUCCAAUGAUCAAACAUUUAUGGGAUGGAGAUGGGCAUGCGUGUCAUUAGCUAGUUGGCGGGGUAACGGCCCACCAAGGCGACGAUGACUAGGGGAUCUGAGAGGAUGGCCCCCCACACUGGUACUGAGACACGGACCAGACUCCUACGGGAGGCAGCAGUAAGGAAUAUUGGUCAAUGGAGGCAACUCUGAACCAGCCAUGCCGCGUGCAGGAAGACUGCCCUAUGGGUUGUAAACUGCUUUUAUUCGGGAAUAAACCUUAUUACGUGUAAUAAGCUGAAUGUACCGAAGGAAUAAGGAUCGGCUAACUCCGUGCCAGCCGCCGCAGUAA
This 496-nucleotide ribosomal RNA is filed under the name uncultured bacterium. RNAcentral's name for it is "partial 16S ribosomal RNA". It matches the Rfam family "Bacterial small subunit ribosomal RNA", at positions 28 to 523 of the family's 1533-position model. The record is from RNAcentral.